CUUAUUAAAACAAUGUACUGAUCAAAUUAGUCCAUUGACACACUUGGGAAAUUUUUACAAUUUUGCCCCUAUAUUUUGCCAAAAUUACCAAAUUACCCCUAGGCUCGUAAAAUAAUUUUUAUCACAUUUAUUUACUCCUUGAGUCUAGAUGAACCAUUUUCAUAACUAUAGCAACUCAUAAUUUCAACUAUUUCACACAUUUACAACUCAUUUUAUAACUUAGCAAUCUAGCCCUUUUUAAGGUGUUUUCAUGCAAUUUCUUUCACAAAAGUUGUUUAUUAGACAACUAGGACUCAUAAUCUUCCAUAAAAACACAGAAAACAACACAUUUACUCUCAUGGAAAAACCCUAGACUCUUCAUCAUUUUGCAAAAUAGACCCCUCAUAUGAAAGCUCAUGCUUUAGGGGUUCCAAAAAUGUAAAAAUCAUCAAGCAAAGACAUUAAAA
RNAcentral lists this long non-coding RNA (446 nucleotides) under Gossypium barbadense (sea-island cotton). RNAcentral's name for it is "long non-coding RNA (GBAR_LNC003591)". Lineage: Eukaryota; Viridiplantae; Streptophyta; Magnoliopsida; Malvales; Malvaceae. The record is from RNAcentral.